UGCGGGCGUGGCGGAACUGGUAGACGCGCCAGAUUUAGGUUCUGGUUCCUUUUAGGAGUGGGGUUCGAUUCCCUUGCCCGCACC
Molecule: transfer RNA, 84 nt
Filed under: Hyphomicrobiales bacterium
Lineage: Bacteria; Pseudomonadati; Pseudomonadota; Alphaproteobacteria; Hyphomicrobiales
Description: tRNA-Leu
Rfam family: tRNA
About the family: Transfer RNA (tRNA) molecules are approximately 80 nucleotides in length. Their secondary structure includes four short double-helical elements and three loops (D, anti-codon, and T loops).
Source: RNAcentral